Molecule: non-coding RNA, 45 nt
Organism: Onchocerca ochengi
Lineage: Eukaryota; Metazoa; Nematoda; Chromadorea; Rhabditida; Onchocercidae
Source: Rfam
UUUAAGGCUUUUCUAAAAGCCAAUAAAAUUUACUUUUUAGAAAUU